GGGGACAUUCGUGGAGGAGGAACCUUGAGGAAGAAGAGGAGCAUGAAGAAGGAUCCUGAGGAGAGAGAAUCCCUGUUCUGAGGGUCCUGGUCAGGAGUUGAAAAUAAGGAAAAGAGAGGAAGAAAAAACACAAAGAAAGAGGCAUCUGAAAAGUAAAAAAAAUACAGAGCUGGAGGUGAACCCAAACACUCAGAGGUAAUUUGCCUUGAGGAGCAAGAACCCUCGAGACCUAUGUGCAGACUUUGGAAAAAAAGAACCUGUGAACAAUAGUAAAGGCUAUGAACGUACCAUCCCUCUGACAGAAAUAAGAGAAUCUUGACCGCAGAAAGCAGACAUGAUGUAUAUUGGAGUGAAAUUAUUCAGCUCAUUGAUACUUCUUCGAGCAGCAGCUUCCUCCUCCUAGACAUCUUAGCUGAGGUUUGCAGAUGACCACAGAUUUUAAUCGCCUUCCCUCCACCUCUGGAAACCUGCUUGGCAAUGGCUAUGCUUGGAUUCUUCAGGAGCUGCACACACAGAAAACAUCUCAAGAUCGCUCCGUAUGUAACAUGUUGUCAAAGCUUUACUUUAUAAAUCUGUUGCCUUUUGAAAAUGAGAAAAUAAACUGUAACAUGAGAAUUGGAGGGGUUAGGAGCAGGUCCUGGUGGUGGCAAAACCCUGUGUUUGCUGUGACAUAUUCCCUUCACUUCUUCCACUUUCCCUCAUUAUCUUGUUUGCUAUGUGUAGCUGAAUAAGCAUGUAACCUCCAAGGCUGUGGAGCAGAUCAUUAGGAGUUACUGAUUAACACAAUGUUUCGAUAGCAGAUCCUGAGUUCUUCUUUUUACAAACUGAAGGGGUCUGGCUUUAUGAUUUUUUAAUUAGAGUGUAAAUAUUGCAGCCUCAUAAACUGUUUGAUUUAUGGAUGACAGCAAAGUUUGCGCUCCGGGAAAGGACAAGGGAGGCUUCAGAUGAACACUUUCAGUGCCCCUGUUUGCCUGUAACAGCCAUCCUGGUAUUUUGUCUUUGGUGAACUCAUCCUAUCAGCCUUACUGAUAACACCUGCGUGUCUAAUCUGGCAGGAUGGCUGAAAUUCCUUUUUAUGUUUCUAAGCAUAAGGAGUACUCACAUUCUGUAUAUUUUAACUGAUAAAGUGGGGGGAAAAAUUGGAGGAAUAUUAAGCUCACAAGGUGAGCUUUGAAAGCUGAUGUUCGUCAUGAGGAUUCCAGAGAAGUGGGGCUAGAUGCAUCACUGUAAAUUUCAGAGGUGUGUGAGAAAUGGCAAAUUGAGGUUGACAAAGAUUUGAGGUCUUGGUGGAUAAUAGAAGGGUAUGUCUGAGAUCCCCUAAUGCAAAAUGUCAUCAGGUUUUUUUGGGAGGAAGACUCCAAAGAGGGAAAGUCCCACCUUUCUCAGGCAAUCAGUAGAACUUGGCUUCCACAUGCAGUGCAAGUUAGGAAGCUCACAAGCAGGGGGAGUGAUUUAAUAAUUUUAACUGGAUUUAUUUACCAAUGGGGCACCUUUAAUCCUCAGUAGAAGCUGUUCCUCAGAAGUUUGGACUCCUCCUGGACACCAGGCUGUUUGGCCAAUAUUUCUGUUCUUGGAGCAGGCAAAGACUUUGCCAACACUGACCUUCUUUCCUCUAGCACACCUCCUUGCUCCGUCUCCAUACCUGAGCUUGCUGUCAGCAUGGUUACGUUUGCAAGGGGAUUAUUCAACCCAAGAUUGCUCUCAAGGGCAGUGAUUUACCAGGAGAGGCCUAAUUCUUUGCACAGGGGGUUUUACAAAUCCUCCUUCACUGGCAUGACUUGCCUCUUUCCAUCUCACAUAUCCUCUUUAAAAUCUUCUUGCCAGCACUGCCAAUAUGAUUUGUCUGUUGAGAUUUUGGGAGGGUGUGUUUUGGGAUGGCUCUUUAUUGUGCUGCAAGGAGCUGUGUUUCUUUGCUGGGCUGUUUUGUGGUCCCUCUAGUCCUUGGAGCAGCCUGCCUGCACCAUUCCAGUGUGCCUGGGCUCUGGGCAGGGGCUGGAAGAACUUGAGGGCGUGGUGGGUUUGCCUCUCUCUGGACAUGUGAGAGCAGCAUAACCUCACCUGCAUUUCAUGGUGACAGAGAUGAAGAAAGUCAAAGCAGACAGUUCUCCUUGAUAUAUACUUGAUUUAGAACAGAGCAUGUCAGUUGGAAAUAUUGGACAGCUCUCUGUCCCCAGAUACAUUGCACAACGUGCAGCGCUGCUAUGGUCAGGACGGACGAGACAGAAUAAAACCUGCGUUACAAGUUCUCCUUUCCACCUCUUAGCAGAGCCUGAGUCCCCACAUUGGUCUUUUCUCUGCUUGAGCACCAGGGACCUCCCCCCCUCCUGUCUCAGACCAAACCCCUGGGAGAGGAGGCAGCCAGCUGCUGCAUGCCAGGAGCCCAGCUUCAGAACUGAGUGCUUUCAGAAAACAUUGGUGCUCUGUUCACAUUCUUUUCUCUGUAGCAAGAAGACUAGAAGCAUAAUUUUCUUUUAAUGAUAUCCAAAAUGUUCGUGGACAGUGAUGAAAUCCAAAAACAUGCCACAGUGUCAGAUUCACCUCUCUCUCUGCUGGAGCUGUGCACGUUUUACUACAGGAAGUAUUUUGUGGCUCUCUACAGUAGCAGCCUGGGUUUCGUUGCCAAAGGCCCAAAUAGUGAAGUUUGGUGGGUUUCUUAUUUUUUCCAGCAAACUUGUUGAAAGGCCUUUCAGUGCAAACUUCAUGUCAAUGGCAAUUACGUAUAUGUUUACAGAUUAUGGCUCCGGUCCCAUCCUGGUAAAUGUUUUUGCACAUUGUUAAAUCCGCAUGUGUAAUUGCCCAGAGAAUAAGAUCAGAAGUGUUGAAUGUAGGAAGAUAAUAACUUGAACUGAACUGUUUUCUUGUUCCUGUUUAAUUUUGAACCUGUUCAACCCUUGUGGGUUCAAAAGUUCACCUCAGUCUUGACCAUUAUUGAGCUUGGAUUCUGUUUAGGAGAAACUGCGACUCCAAGUAAAGCGGAGGGUCAGAAGAAAAUAAAUCCAACAGAAUGCAUAAAGUGAUAAAUGAAGAAGGCAGAAAGACAGAAAAAAAGCACAUACUGGAUGAGUUCUUGGUUUUAUAAUGUCAAAAAGGUGUUUUGCUUCUGACUGCACUGAGGCUGGGAUUUCUGUCGUAACACCUGGUUCAAAAACCCUGGAAUUCCACCAGAAUGUUUCCAUUACCUGUAGUGUUCCUGUGCCGCUUAUAAUGAGCUUUGUUUUGUAGCUCUAAUGCGUGCUUUAGCUCCCAGUAGCCCUUAGCUGGAACAUGCAGCAGCCCAGUCUUUCGGGGCUGGAGGAGAAAGCGAAAUUACAGGAGAGAACGGCUUUUCCUCAUCUUCCUGUUUCCCCACAGAGGCUUCAGAGCCUCAAAUGCAUUUAUCUUUGCAACCC
Long non-coding RNA from Hirundo rustica (Barn swallow), 3389 nucleotides. RefSeq lists it as uncharacterized. The record is from RefSeq and is a predicted model, not a curated record. Lineage: Eukaryota; Metazoa; Chordata; Aves; Passeriformes; Hirundinidae. The transcript has 5 exons.